CCCACCAACGGAAAGGAGGGAAAAAAAAAAACUGCAAGAACGAACUACAGAUCAAGUGGGACACUGAGUAGAGAGGAACUAUUUCAGGCACCGCACCCCACAAAUGGGAACUGUGGAGAACGGUGAAGAAAUCACCACAGAGGUGACCGAGCGGCUCCGGGCGCCAUCAGAGGAAGACAAGGAUUCCAUGGUGACCUACAAAUAGUCUAAGGCCAGCGGAGAACCACUGGGAAAAAGCAAAGGUCAGCAAGGACAGGUCUCUCUGCCACCUCAUGACCAGAACAAAAUUACCAACUAACUGAUUCCCUGUUGGAACUAAGUAAAUACAGAGGGAGGGAACUGUAAGGGACAGUGCCCAGCAACACAGCAUCAACACUCUGGUGGAGUGUUGUCCCCAGUGCUAGUCUCAGUCUGGUGAACAGUUUCCGACACCCCUAAAGGAGCACUCCAAAGAGAUGGAAGCCACCCUUAGGACAACUUGGAUCCUUCUCCUUUGGGGACUUGCUGGCGCGGGUUGCACAGAGAGGAGGGGGCAGAGCUUGCUGGCUUUCAGGGCUGCUUCAGAACCCAGGGGUUCUCUGAGCCCCUCUGGCUGCACCCCCCCCAACAGUAAAUGGACUGAACGGUGAAGAGGAGGAGGAAGAGGAGGACAAGGGUCCCCUGACAAAACUAAGCAUCCCGGACAAUCUAGACAGCUGGGAGGCCAUGUGUGGUUGUCCGGAGGGCUAGGCGGGCUAGGUGCUGGGCAGGCCAGCACUGCUGAGCCCCUGAGCCCGCUGUCUGGCCGAGGGCCGCUUUACCGAGCUCAUGCAGGAGAAAGUGGGCUUACAGGACUGGAUGGAGGAGCUGGAGCAUCGAUGUAUCCAGAUGUCUGGAGAGACUGACACCAUCGGUGAGCAGGGAGGCUUGUGCCCUGCAGCUGGGGUGCUAUGCAGAGGCUGGGGAGACCCCAGCAGCUGAGCUGUCUGCGCGCCCUCCCCCUAGGAGAAUACAUCACUCUCUACCAGAACCAGAGAGCAGUGAUGAGGGAGGAGCACCAAGAGAAGGACGAGUCCAUAAGGCAGCUGGCCCAGGACAAAGAGGAGAUGAAGGUGAAGCUGUUAGAGCUGCAAGAGCUGGUUUUGCAGCUGGUGGAGGCACGCAACGA
Molecule: long non-coding RNA, 1147 nt
Organism: Talpa occidentalis (Iberian mole)
Lineage: Eukaryota; Metazoa; Chordata; Mammalia; Eulipotyphla; Talpidae
Exons: 3
Source: RefSeq, a predicted model, not a curated record